This 320-nucleotide ribosomal RNA is filed under the name uncultured eukaryote. Its description in RNAcentral is "partial 18S ribosomal RNA". It matches the Rfam family "Eukaryotic small subunit ribosomal RNA", at positions 1470 to 1796 of the family's 1831-position model. The record is from RNAcentral.
CCCCUAGAUGUUCUGGGCCGCACGCGCGCUACACUGAACAGUUCAACAAGUCUUAACCUUGGCUGAUAGGUCUGGGUAAUCUUUGAACGCUGUUCGUGAUUGGGAUAGACCUUUGCAAUUAUGGGUCUUCAACGAGGAAUUCCUAGUAAACGCAAGUCAUCAGCUUGCAUUGAUUACGUCCCUGCCCUUUGUACACACCGCCCGUCGCACCUACCGAUUGAAUGGUCCGGUGAAAUCUCGGGACGGCGGCUUGGUCGCUUGCGUCCGACUGCUGAAACUUGAUUAAACCAUAUCAUUUAGAGGAAGGUGAANUCGUANCA